Long non-coding RNA from Portunus trituberculatus (swimming crab), 750 nucleotides. RefSeq lists it as uncharacterized. The record is from RefSeq and is a predicted model, not a curated record. The transcript has 2 exons. NCBI's taxonomy places the organism in Eukaryota, Metazoa, Arthropoda, Malacostraca, Decapoda, Portunidae.
GCAUAGAAUGUAGAGGUUAAAGAAAUGUCGCAAUAAAAUCACCGUUUUGUAUCAAAACUCUUGUUUAACUCUAGUGAAUUUUCGUGACAAAAGUAAUCCCAUCCUCAGGCAACACUGAAAUACGGAAAAAACAUGCAGAGAGUAAGUGAGGAGACUUGUACACCCUCCAAAGAUCACGGGACAAAGAUGUCCUAGACAACAAAAACAUCUCUUAUGUACCCUGGUCCUAGCAAUCGACAUCUAUCAAACCUACCUGAUCCAUGUAAUUCUAAUAAAAUUAAUUCUGGUUUCCUAGUCAAUUAUGCAAAGUAAAAAUAAAGUUAUUUAUGAAGCUAAUAAAAUCUAUAAAAGCAAUGAAAGAAACGUUAGUAUUCAUUUGCUUUCCAAGACUUUACUUCUAAUAAUAGUGAGUAAUAUUUUUUUCAAAAUACAAGCACUGAAAAACAUUCUUCACCCUGAUCAAUGACUGAUGUUUCUACUGUUACAAUAUACGCAACAUCCUCUAAAUAUUAUAAAGUGGAACAGAGAACCAAGUCUCACCUCUUAAGAUGAGAAAUAUCAUUGACACAAAAGAGUAUAUAGAUAUAUUUUAUUACUUUUUCCUUGCAGAUAUCCAAUGAUGGCAAAGUGCGCUCUCUCAUAUGAGUGAGUGAGUGUGUGUGUGUGUGUGUGUGUGUGUGUGUGUGUGUGUGUGUGUGUGUGUGUGUGUGUGUGUGUGUGUGUGUGUGUGUGUGUGUGUGUGUGUGUGUG